Lonchura striata (white-rumped munia) is the source of this 556-nucleotide non-coding RNA. The record is from RefSeq and is a predicted model, not a curated record. NCBI's taxonomy places the organism in Eukaryota, Metazoa, Chordata, Aves, Passeriformes, Estrildidae.
CGAGCGGGGCUGAUGGAGGCGGAGAAGCGGGGCUGAUGGAGGCGGAGAAGCGGGGCUGAUGGAGGCGGAGAAGCGGGGCUGAUGGAGGCGGAGAAGCGGGGCUGAAGGCUCGCACCGCGCUGGGUGUGACAGCGGCCAGCCGAGCGCUCCGCAGCUCCUGCGUGUGCGACCGCAGGUCCGGCACCCGGCCGACAAUGGACUGCUGCCGCUGGACAGCCGCUGGCACCCUGCUGCUGGCUUCCCUCAUCCUGAUUCAUAGGGCUGCAAAAGAAUAAUAAAAGAAGGUAUGUCAUAGAACACUGCGGAGUGUCUGAAGAUUGGAAUGUUGGUGACCUGUAGUCAUGGAUCUGUCAGCUGGACAACCUUCAGUGUUCAGAAGGUGCAUGAAUCAAUGUGAAGUCUGAGAAGGCCACAUGACCAGACAAAUAAUUCUCCAGAAGAGGAGUAUCAGUCUCUGCAUGACUAAAUUUUUGCUGAAGCAAUAAAAUCUUAAUCCCGUAUAACUGUAUCAUUAGGUGUCCAAAUAAAACCUCAUGGUUUCUGUUGCAUUGUCAAA